Molecule: long non-coding RNA, 412 nt
Filed under: Vombatus ursinus (common wombat)
Lineage: Eukaryota; Metazoa; Chordata; Mammalia; Diprotodontia; Vombatidae
Description: lncRNA (ENSVURG00010019464.1)
Source: RNAcentral
CCGCCAGACAGACUGAAAGUCCCUGGGAAAGUGAAAGGGGGAGGGGGAGGGAGGCCCAAGUUUAAGGUCUCCGACUCUUAAAGAGACAAGACACUUCAGUCUUAGUGCAUCCCCAGCGGUCAGCUCGGGCCCUCGGGCCCUCCCACUCCUCUUCUCUGGGUUUGCACGCCCCGGGGGUAUUUCUCCCAGCACACCCGCCCCUGGGUCUCGGAACGGGAAGCAGCGGCUCCUGCGCGGCCCCUUCCUGACUGUCUGGCCCGGGUUGAGCCUGUCUGCAGCCCUCCCCUCUCUACUACCCCGCCUCCGUCUCCCCACCGAUCUUCGGUCCUUAAGAGGGAGGGGGCUGCUGCAGAUUCUGCAUGAGAAUGAAGGGACUAUGGAGAUGGGAAGACCACAUCCAGCAGACAUGUAA